ACCAGCAGCCAUAUCACCCUGCAACUCACAACUGGCUGUCCACUGAAGCUAAGCAGGUGUUAGUCUUGUCAGUACCUGGAUGGGAGACCUCCUGGGAAAUAUUAAGGUUCCUGCAGGAA
RNAcentral lists this ribosomal RNA (119 nucleotides) under Lepisosteus oculatus (spotted gar). Lineage: Eukaryota; Metazoa; Chordata; Actinopteri; Semionotiformes; Lepisosteidae. The record is from RNAcentral.